GAUGAACGCUGGCGGCGUGCCUAAUACAUGCAAGUCGAGCGAACGGACGAGAAGCUUGCUUCCCUGAUGUUAGCGGCGGACGGGUGAGUAACACGUGGAUAACCUACCUAUAAGACUGGGAUAACUUCGGGAAACCGGAGCUAAUACCGGAUGAUAUUUUGAACCGCAUGGUUCAAAAGUGAAAGACGGUCUUGCUGUCACUUGUAGAUGGAUCCGCGCUGCAUUAGCUAGUUGGUAAGGUAACGGCUUACCAAGGCAACGAUGCAUAUCCGACCUGAGAGGGUGAUCGGCCACACUGGAACUGAGACACGGUCCAGACUCCUACGGGAGGCAGCAGUAGGGAAUCUUCCGCAAUGGGCGAAAGCCUGACGGAGCAACGCCGCGUGAGUGAUGAAGGUCUUCGGAUCGUAAAACUCUGUUAUUAGGGAAGAACAUAUGUGUAAGUAACUGUGCACAUCUUGACGGUACCUAAUCAGAAAGCCACGGCUAACUACGUG
RNAcentral lists this ribosomal RNA (497 nucleotides) under uncultured bacterium. RNAcentral's name for it is "partial 16S ribosomal RNA". It matches the Rfam family "Bacterial small subunit ribosomal RNA", at positions 28 to 507 of the family's 1533-position model. The record is from RNAcentral.